GACGAACCGUGCGAACGUUAUUCGGAAUCACUGGGCUUAAAGCGCGUGUAGGCGGAAGGGCACGUCCGUUGCUGAAAUCCCCCGGCUCAACCGGGGAACGGGCACGGAUACGACUCUUCUGGAGGGGCGUAGGGGGACCUGGAACUUCCGGUGGAGCGGUGAAAUGCGUUGAGAUCGGAAGGAACGCCCGUGGCGAAAGCGAGGUCCUGGACGCCUACUGACGCUGAGACGCGAAAGCCAGGUGAGCGAACGGG
This 254-nucleotide ribosomal RNA is filed under the name uncultured bacterium. Its description in RNAcentral is "partial 16S ribosomal RNA". It matches the Rfam family "Bacterial small subunit ribosomal RNA", at positions 524 to 776 of the family's 1533-position model. The record is from RNAcentral.